RNAcentral lists this long non-coding RNA (1382 nucleotides) under Coturnix japonica (Japanese quail). RNAcentral's name for it is "lncRNA (ENSCJPG00005010164.1)". Lineage: Eukaryota; Metazoa; Chordata; Aves; Galliformes; Phasianidae. The record is from RNAcentral.
AUCUUUACAGUUAUAUGUCUUUUUUAUUAAGCUUUUGCUCUGUAUUGUUUAUGUUUGUUUCCUUUGGUGUUCAGCAGGUUCACAGACAGCUCUUGCUGCCUCCAUAAAACUCCUAGAAAGCAUCCCAAGGAGGGCUACAAAGAUGGUGAAGGUUCUGGAAGGUUCUUUCUAACUCAGUGUAUUAUGUGAUUCUAAAGGAGGGGCAGUGACCGGCAACGAUGGAAUCAUCACAAAGGGGAGAAUCUGCACCUCGUGGGAGGCAGUCAGGGUGCUGGGUGCACUUAUCACACUUGCCUGCCUGCAUCAUACUGCUUUCUUUCUCCUCUGCCUCCGUUCUUCCACAUGAGGACUCAGUUACGAGAACGCCAAGGAGGACUAGGAAAAAGGAGAGAAAGAUGGAAGCCAAGUGACCCAGAUUGAGUCUGAAGCCACUACUUGCUUACUGGUACUUCUAAAAAACUAAGUUGGAGCAACAGUGGCAGGAUUAAAAUGGCCCUGCUGGAUCAGACCAAUGCCCUAUAGGUGGCUGAAUGAAGCAACAAAUGUAUACAGAAUGUGUACAGCCUUUCAAUAGCCAGAGGUUUUAACCUCAGCAUCUGGACCAUCGUGGUCCAGCGAACAAUGAAUCCACACUCCAUCAACACAUUUCAUGUCUUGAAUUCCAUGUUAAUUUUUUUGCAAAGCACAGCAUUUUGUGGCAGGACUAAUGUCACUCUCUGUGUCGGGUAGUCACACAUUUAAUAGUUCAUUGUAAGGAAAUUUACUUUCUAUAGCUUUUUUUCAGACUUGCAGGCAGACAUUGUUACUUUACACUCAGUGGUUAUUUUACUAGUGAAAUGAAUUUGUUCUUAAAUGUUUUAGGUAAAUCAUCUUCUCCAUUGCAAGCAGAUUUCCACCCAGCUCAGAUGAUGAGAAAUCUCAAUCUACUUCAGAUAAAAUUAGCUGGGGGAUUAUAACCUCUUGUUAGCAAUGUGGGUAGUAAUAUCUUCACAUGAUAAAAAACAGAUUUGGAAGAGAACAUCUGCCCAAGCCUCAGGCUGUGAAAGCCAGCUUAAAGUGAAGUAAAUUUUGAAUGACUGUCACCGAACUUGUGCAGUAGAACCUGAGGGAGUAUCACUGUGAUAGAACAACCUGAUUUGUUGUAUCUUGUUUUGGAUUUGCUUGGGCUUUGUCCUCUUUGGGUAGGAUUCUGUUCUGUGUGAAAAACCUUCAGUCUCUCUGGAUGCACAGUCGAUGUCUCCUUGUGUCUUUAGAUGCAACAGUCAUGUAAGUAAGUAAAUCCUGAUAAUAAGUGGGUGAAAUCACAAGCUGGUUCACUUCCCUUCCUCUUUUUCCUUGUAAUCAGAAGAUGAAGCCACUUCAGAAGUGCAGAGGAGGCUGUG